GUGAAUCAUCGAAUUUUUGAACGCAAAUUGCACUCUCCUCGGAGAGUAUGCCUGUUCGAGGGUCAGCCUAUAAAAAAUCGACAUCGUUGCUGUUUCGCGGUGACGUUCGUCGGAAAUUGAGCCAUCUUAAAUCCUUCUGGUUUUAAGCGACUUAAAAAUUUCUUUUUGGUUCCAUGAACGUUUCUAAGAUUGAUUUCUUUACACGAUUAAGGGUAUCGAUUUUUAUUAGACGUGGCCGUCAUAUCGGAUCGCGUCCAUAAUUUUUCUCUAACUAACCUCAGAC
RNAcentral lists this unclassified non-coding RNA (283 nucleotides) under Glomus sp. Its description in RNAcentral is "partial contains 5.8S ribosomal RNA and internal transcribed spacer 2". The stretch from base 1 to 65 matches the Rfam family "5.8S ribosomal RNA", at positions 84 to 154 of the family's 154-position model. The record is from RNAcentral. Lineage: Eukaryota; Fungi; Glomeromycota; Glomeromycetes; Glomerales; Glomeraceae.